AGGAACGCAAGCAGCCAUCGUUGCUGGGGUGUCUCUGUCCCUCGCCCCGAGGCCCGCACCGCCCUCCUAGCGAUUAUUUUCGACGCCCGCCCUCCUGAGCCUCCUGAGUCGGCUGCCAGAGCGAGGGCCCGUCUCCCGCCGCCACUCGCGAUUUAUUUACACCUCGCAGAACUGCCGCGAUUUCCCCCGCAUUCAGGCGCAUUUCUGGCCUCGGAACACCUCCGCGCCCGCAGAUGCACGCUCCGAAGCUCCCACGACCGCCUGCCCCCGGCGCGCACUCUAAAACUCCUCGGCCCUCUUACCCUGCUGCUGGCUCCGCAUCGCCUAUUCGCCGCCGCCCGCAGGACUUUGGGGUGGGACUCUGACUUCUCCCGGCUGUUUGCCCCCUGGUUUGUAGCCCAUCCCUCUCUCUCACGCGCGCUCUCUCGCCACCUCUCCCUCCCAGCCAGUGAGGUCCUGUUCUCCGUGGGCCAUAGACAAAACAUUCCUAUAAUCCGAUUUCAAAGGAAAGAGUGUCCACCUUAUUUAAACCAUAAAACAAUUAAGCCCAGACGUCUAGCCAGCUCCGCGCUGCUGUUUUGUUCUGCCCCAUUCAGAAUCCAGCGCAGGGAGACAAACAGCGCCAUAAAAGUGGCAUUUCGGGACCGCGGAAAUGUACCUAUCCUCUGCCUUCCCAAGUGGAACAACCUUUAGGGUUUUGUGAUUCUGACAAAGGAGCAGAGGAGAGGUGGGAGGGGAAGAUUAGGGCGGGGUGGGGGGCGUUUGCCGGCCCCUCUCCCCCCGCCUCUUCCCCGGGCUUUCGCUGCUUUCCCCAGAUGUGUGUUGUGCUGUCGUGGCUUGGAGUCACAAAUGACAAUAAAUAAAAAUCGAAUCCAAUCCUGACCUGCA
RNAcentral lists this long non-coding RNA (888 nucleotides) under Sus scrofa (pig). RNAcentral's name for it is "lncRNA (ENSSSCG00030039015.1)". The record is from RNAcentral. Lineage: Eukaryota; Metazoa; Chordata; Mammalia; Artiodactyla; Suidae.